This 207-nucleotide ribosomal RNA is filed under the name Apterostigma acre. RNAcentral's name for it is "partial large subunit ribosomal RNA". The record is from RNAcentral. Lineage: Eukaryota; Metazoa; Arthropoda; Insecta; Hymenoptera; Formicidae.
GAAUUUGAAAUAAAUUAUUUCAAGAUUAGUUUAGUGAGAAAUAAUUUUAUUUUUAAUUGGGAGGAUUAUUAAAUUUAUUAAACUUUAAUAAAAAUAUAACUUAGAUUAAAGAUUUAAAUGAUUGAUUUAAAAAUUAAGUAAGAUUUAAUUACCUUAGGGAUAACAGCGUAAUAUUUUUGGAUAGAACUAAUUGAUAAAAAUUAUUGC